This 476-nucleotide ribosomal RNA is filed under the name uncultured organism. Its description in RNAcentral is "partial 16S ribosomal RNA". It matches the Rfam family "Bacterial small subunit ribosomal RNA", at positions 334 to 801 of the family's 1533-position model. The record is from RNAcentral.
CACUCCUGCGGGAGGCAGCAGUGGGGAAUAUUGCACAAUGGGCGCAAGCCUGAUGCAGCCAUGCCGCGUGUAUGAAGAAGGCCUUCGGGUUGUAAAGUACUUUCAGCGGGGAGGAAGGCGAUAAGGUUAAUAACCUUGUCGAUUGACGUUACCCGCAGAAGAAGCACCGGCUAACUCCGUGCCAGCAGCCGCGGUAAUACGGAGGGUGCAAGCGUUAAUCGGAAUUACUGGGCGUAAAGCGCACGCAGGCGGUCUGUCAAGUCGGAUGUGAAAUCCCCGGGCUCAACCUGGGAACUGCAUUCGAAACUGGCAGGCUAGAGUCGUGUAGAGGGGGGUAGAAUUCCAGGUGUAGCGGUGAAAUGCGUAGAGAUCUGGAGGAAUACCGGUGGCGAAGGCGGCCCCCUGGACAAAGACUGACGCUCAGGUGCGAAAGCGUGGGGAGCAAACAGGAUUAGAAACCCCAGUAGUCCCAUGAU